RNAcentral lists this long non-coding RNA (2727 nucleotides) under Medicago truncatula (barrel medic). RNAcentral describes it as "long non-coding RNA (MTRU_LNC008520)". The stretch from base 2193 to 2307 matches the Rfam family "MIR2593 microRNA precursor family". The record is from RNAcentral. Lineage: Eukaryota; Viridiplantae; Streptophyta; Magnoliopsida; Fabales; Fabaceae.
CUCUCUCUCUCUCUCUCUCUCUCUCUCUCUCUCACUAUAACAUUUCCUUCAUAGGAUUUAUGUUAACCAUUCUAAAUUAUGUCUUUAAUUGGUUUUUAUUUUGAAUAUGAACAACUCAUUCUAUCACAGUUUAGUUUUCUAUUUUAAACAAAUUUAACACCACCAACAUAGGAUGAAGCAGGAGUAUCAAAAUCAAGUUUUGUUUGAUGGGAAAAAAUCUUACUUUACUGUGGUUGCAGGUUGCAAUCUUAUGUUUUUUUUUUUCUUCCGUAUUUUAUGGAUGGUGGUGUGGCUAGAUUUGAAAUUCAUACGCUGAAGAUGAUGAAGAGUGAUGCUUUUAUGAGAAGAUGAAAUUUGGACAGGUUUCUUUUCCCUCCACAUAUUUCUUUUUGUUGUUAUGAUUUCGUUUUUUGAUCAUUUUGUCUCAUUUUGUUGUGAGUUUAUGUUAGGCAUUUCAUUUUAUCUCAUUCUAUUUUUGUUAGGCAAAUUCAAUAUUGUGAAGCUUGAAAGAAGAAUGACUAUAUAUGCAGCUUGAAAGAAAAAAGAUACAAUUGGAAAAUAAAAGAAGAAUUAUAUCACAUAUUUUAGGCUUUAUGUGUAGUUCGUGAGAUUGAUACCGAUGUCUGCAAAAUUUUAUGUAAAGUAUCUAAACCUUUGCUCUUUAAUCAUUAUAUCAACUAUUUCUAAAUCUUUUCUCUUUAAACUUUCUAUUUUUCUACUACUUCGUUAGUUAUUUCAUCUAUUUCUUGCUUCAUUUCCUCUAUUUCAUGCUUCUGAUUGAGUAUCAUCCUAUUUUUGUUGAAUUAUGCAUUAGCCUUAGUUAGCAUAGCUCCAAAAUAUAUGCUUAUGAAAUGUGUUUCUUUAUUUUCAUAUACAGAUGUGUGCUUAACUAUUCAGAGCUGGUUCAAGGUAAUUUUCUGCAUAAUUUGGAGCGAGAUCGAGGUGAUUUUCUGCAUAAUUUAGAGCUGGUUUUCGGCAUGUGGACUAAUGUAAUGCAACAGCAGUGUUUUGGUAUUGCAGCUGCUACGUAGUGGUAUUUUUUCCUCCCUAUGUUCUGAUUUUUCUCUGUGGUCCAGCUGCACCAUAUCGGUUUUAUUUUCUUCUCUUUGCCUUUGUUUUCUGUGUGUUUUGGCUCAAUUUACAAAAAAAUUAUUGUCUUUUUAACUGGCUGUUUGUAUUGUUCUCCUGUUAGUUUUUCUGAAUAGGUUGUUGUAGUUUGGCUCUAUAGUGUAGUUGAUUUUGCUUUGUUUUCUUUGGGAUUGUUUCUUAUGUUCUCUUGGUUCUUAUUUCCUUGGGUUUCUAUUACUGCUACUGCAUAACUACUGUAUUUCAUGUUGUCUUUUUAUAAUGUUCAUUUAAAUUUUAUGUAGUGUCAACUAUAGGUAAUCCUUACAAAAAUAAGUUAACAACCUUACAUGGACAUUCAAGAACUGCUUGGGCUGCCAAUUGCAUGCUUAAUUUGUGAGUAUAAGUUUGGAACUAUUUGUUGAUUGUAAUUUUAUUAGUGUAAGUCAACUGAUAAAGGUUAAUCAAUAAUCACUCUCUUUCGUCUACAAUUUUUUUCUUUGUUAUAAUGGUUAUUCUUUGUUGUCGACUUCAUAGAUUUAUCAAAGAUCAAAUGCUAUCGAUUUUGAAUAACUCAGUUGGACCAAGCAUGGCUCAUUCCAUAUCAAUUUAAGAUUGCAAGUAUCUUUUAUUUUUCUAUGCUUAAUUGAAAUAAAUGUGCCCCUGUUGGUAGUUAUUUUAAAUUGGAUAGAAGAAAAUGUUGGAGAAAUGUGAAAUUGAACAGCAAGAAGACAAUUUAUCAAUCUAACAAUUAAAGUCUUUGUAAAAUCACGGAUCUCAUAUUCUGCAGCGUGCUAUAAAUGUAUGUUUGAUUGCAAGUUGCAACUAUAUCAGUUUGUUUUGAGUUGUAAGUAAAAAGUAAAUAUUGAGAUUUUGAGUCUAUUUUAGCAAUUUUGAUCAAUUUGUAAGGUAUUAGCCACUAUUUGAAAGUUCUUUCUUUGCUUGGUUUUAUGAUUUUUCAAGGAGCAUUACUUUGUGUGGCUAAUUUAGAUUGAUAGAGCUAUUCUUUUGUUGCACAUGAUUUGGCAGAUGUGGUGUGUAUUUAUAUACGUUCUCGAGCUGGUGCGGCGCCAACAUGCCUUCAAAAUUAUAGGCAUCUCAAUCAGGAAUACACCCUCCGGUCACUAAUAUAAGCAAAAAAUUACAUUUUAGGUUCAUUCAUUUAAUGAUGUAUGUGGUCUAUAAUAAAGACUAUGUGCAUCAUUAAAUGAAUGAACAUAAAAUGUAGUUUUUUGCUUAUAUUAGUGACCGGAGGGUGUAUGCAUUAAGGAAUUGGAAGCACUAAACACUUCAACAGACAAGUACACUUUAUGGCAUAUGUUGAUGUAAGUGGUAAAGAUUUGAUGAUCGUUAAAACAACUUAGGGGACUUAUGUUGAUAUUUACUAUGACAAAGAUUUGUAGUGUGACAAUUUGUGAAUAGUUGUAAUGAGUAUUGUAAUUGGUAGUGUUGGCACAAUUGUGAUGUCUCCAUACUUCUUUCAUUAGUAAUGUUAAUUUUUCAUUAAAUAGCCAAGUUUGAAUGCAAACUUGAUUAUUUUUUUACAAUUAAACAAAUGCAAACUUACAAGGAUGAGGCAAACAGAAAGCUUCAUAAGAAAUCUCUAAAGUAUAUGAUUUUUGGGAUUUGAUAUUCUUGCAUCCAACAUCCACUCUACCAAGA